GUCAGGGAAGAAACGGUGAAAGACUAAUAUCUUUUGCUAAUGACGGUACCUGAAGAAUAAGCACCGGCUAACUACGUGCCAGCAGCCGCGGUAAUACGUAGGGUGCAAGCGUUAAUCGGAAUUACUGGGCGUAAAGCGUGCGCAGGUCGGUUUGUAAGUCUGAUGUGAAAUCCCCGGGCUCAACCUGGGAAUUGCAUUGGAGACUGCAAGGCUUAGAAUCUGGCAGGAGGGGGUAGAAUUCCACGUGUAGCAGUGAAAUGCGUAGAUAUGUGGAGGAACACCGAUGGCGAAGGCAGCCCCCUGGGUCAAGAUUGACGCUCAUGCACGAAAGCGUGGGGAGCAAACAGGAUUAGAUACCCUGGUAGUCCACGCCCUAAACGAUGUCUACUAGUUGUCGGGUCUUAAUUGACUUGGUAACGCAGCUAACGCGUGAAGUAGACCGCCUGGGGAGUACGGUCGCAAGAUUA
Molecule: ribosomal RNA, 467 nt
Filed under: uncultured Pseudomonadota bacterium
Lineage: Bacteria; Pseudomonadati; Pseudomonadota
Description: bacterial SSU rRNA
Rfam family: Bacterial small subunit ribosomal RNA
Source: RNAcentral